This 2774-nucleotide ribosomal RNA is filed under the name Enterobacter bugandensis. Its description in RNAcentral is "partial 23S ribosomal RNA". It matches the Rfam family "Bacterial large subunit ribosomal RNA". The record is from RNAcentral. Lineage: Bacteria; Pseudomonadati; Pseudomonadota; Gammaproteobacteria; Enterobacterales; Enterobacteriaceae.
CACUAUCGUUAACUGAAUACAUAGGUUAACGAGGCGAACCGGGGGAACUGAAACAUCUAAGUACCCCGAGGAAAAGAAAUCAACCGAGAUUCCCCCAGUAGCGGCGAGCGAACGGGGAGCAGCCCGGAGUCUGAAUCAGCUUGUGUGUUAGUGGAAGCGUCUGGAAAGUCGCACGGUACAGGGUGACAGUCCCGUACACGAAAAUGCACAGGUUGUGAACUCGAAGAGUAGGGCGGGACACGUGGUAUCCUGUCUGAAUAUGGGGGGACCAUCCUCCAAGGCUAAAUACUCCUGACUGACCGAUAGUGAACCAGUACCGUGAGGGAAAGGCGAAAAGAACCCCGGCGAGGGGAGUGAAAAAGAACCUGAAACCGUGUACGUACAAGCAGUGGGAGCACCUUCGUGGUGUGACUGCGUACCUUUUGUAUAAUGGGUCAGCGACUUAUAUUCUGUAGCAAGGUUAACCGUAUAGGGGAGCCGCAGGGAAACCGAGUCUUAACUGGGCGUUAAGUUGCAGGGUAUAGACCCGAAACCCGGUGAUCUAGCCAUGGGCAGGUUGAAGGUUGGGUAACACUAACUGGAGGACCGAACCGACUAAUGUUGAAAAAUUAGCGGAUGACCUGUGGCUGGGGGUGAAAGGCCAAUCAAACCGGGAGAUAGCUGGUUCUCCCCGAAAGCUAUUUAGGUAGCGCCUCGUGAACUCAUCUUCGGGGGUAGAGCACUGUUUCGGCUAGGGGGCCAUCCCGGCUUACCAACCCGAUGCAAACUACGAAUACCGAAGAAUGUUAUCACGGGAGACACACGGCGGGUGCUAACGUCCGUCGUGAAGAGGGAAACAACCCAGACCGCCAGCUAAGGUCCCAAAGUCAUGGUUAAGUGGGAAACGAUGUGGGAAGGCACAGACAGCCAGGAUGUUGGCUUAGAAGCAGCCAUCAUUUAAAGAAAGCGUAAUAGCUCACUGGUCGAGUCGGCCUGCGCGGAAGAUGUAACGGGGCUAAACCAUGCACCGAAGCUGCGGCAGCGACGCUUAUGCGUUGUUGGGUAGGGGAGCGUUCUGUAAGCCGUUGAAGGUGUGCUGUGAGGCAUGCUGGAGGUAUCAGAAGUGCGAAUGCUGACAUAAGUAACGAUAAAGCGGGUGAAAAGCCCGCUCGCCGGAAGACCAAGGGUUCCUGUCCAACGUUAAUCGGGGCAGGGUGAGUCGACCCCUAAGGCGAGGCCGAAAGGCGUAGUCGAUGGGAAACAGGUUAAUAUUCCUGUACUUGGUGUUACUGCGAAGGGGGGACGGAGAAGGCUAUGUCAGCCGGGCGACGGUUGUCCCGGUUUAAGCGUGUAGGUGUGUGUUCCAGGCAAAUCCGGUUCACUUUAACACUGAGGCGUGAUGACGAGGCACUACGGUGCUGAAGUGAUAAAUGCCCUGCUUCCAGGAAAAGCCUCUAAGCAUCAGGUAACACGAAAUCGUACCCCAAACCGACACAGGUGGUCAGGUAGAGAAUACCAAGGCGCUUGAGAGAACUCGGGUGAAGGAACUAGGCAAAAUGGUGCCGUAACUUCGGGAGAAGGCACGCUGAUAUGUAGGUGAAGUCCCUGCGGACGGAGCUGAAAUCAGUCGAAGAUACCAGCUGGCUGCAACUGUUUAUUAAAAACACAGCACUGUGCAAACACGAAAGUGGACGUAUACGGUGUGACGCCUGCCCGGUGCCGGAAGGUUAAUUGAUGGGGUUAGCGGCAACGCGAAGCUCUUGAUCGAAGCCCCGGUAAACGGCGGCCGUAACUAUAACGGUCCUAAGGUAGCGAAAUUCCUUGUCGGGUAAGUUCCGACCUGCACGAAUGGCGUAAUGAUGGCCAGGCUGUCUCCACCCGAGACUCAGUGAAAUUGAACUCGCUGUGAAGAUGCAGUGUACCCGCGGCAAGACGGAAAGACCCCGUGAACCUUUACUAUAGCUUGACACUGAACACUGGUCCUUGAUGUGUAGGAUAGGUGGGAGGCUUUGAAGCGUGGACGCCAGUCUGCGUGGAGCCGUCCUUGAAAUACCACCCUUUAAUGGCUGGUGUUCUAACGUGGACCCGUGAUCCGGGUUGCGGACAGUGUCUGGUGGGUAGUUUGACUGGGGCGGUCUCCUCCCAAAGAGUAACGGAGGAGCACGAAGGUUAGCUAAUCCUGGUCGGACAUCAGGAGGUUAGUGCAAUGGCAUAAGCUAGCUUGACUGCGAGAGUGACGGCUCGAGCAGGUGCGAAAGCAGGUCAUAGUGAUCCGGUGGUUCUGAAUGGAAGGGCCAUCGCUCAACGGAUAAAAGGUACUCCGGGGAUAACAGGCUGAUACCGCCCAAGAGUUCAUAUCGACGGCGGUGUUUGGCACCUCGAUGUCGGCUCAUCACAUCCUGGGGCUGAAGUAGGUCCCAAGGGUAUGGCUGUUCGCCAUUUAAAGUGGUACGCGAGCUGGGUUUAGAACGUCGUGAGACAGUUCGGUCCCUAUCUGCCGUGGGCGCUGGAGAAUUGAGGGGGGCUGCUCCUAGUACGAGAGGACCGGAGUGGACGCAUCACUGGUGUUCGGGUUGUCAUGCCAAUGGCACUGCCCGGUAGCUAAAUGCGGAAGAGAUAAGUGCUGAAAGCAUCUAAGCACGAAACUUGCCCCGAGAUGAGUUCUCCCUGAGACUUUAAGUCUCCUGAAGGAACGUUGAAGACGACGACGUUGAUAGGCCGGGUGUGUAAGCGCAGCGAUGCGUUGAGCUAACCGGUACUAAUGAACCGUGAGGCUUAACCUUACAACGCCGAAG